UAUUAAAGAAAUACUAAAAAUAUGAGGCCUUAUUAAAAUAUGAGGCCUUAGGCAACUGCCUUGUUCGCCUAUACCUAUAGCCACCCCUGCCUGUCAUAUCAAUCAAUAAAUAAAGCUACAAUCAAAACUUGCUUGCUAGCUAAGUGGCUGAACUUAAAUUGUUACAAUGGAGCUAGGACUUGUGAAUUCAAGAUAGAGAGUAAUGAUAUAGUGGGCAAUGAUGCUCAUUUGAUGGUAAGCGACAUGUCAUGUGGUGCUGUCUAACUAAUUUAUAGUUUUAAUAUUAUUCACAGGUAGUCAUAGAAUUCUACCACAUAUUCAUAUGUUUGUUCACCAUGAGCAUUAAUAUUCACUAGAUCAUCUUAUUCAAACACAAGAUCCCUCAAGUCAAA
RNAcentral lists this long non-coding RNA (392 nucleotides) under Citrus x clementina. RNAcentral describes it as "Citrus clementina (C. clementina) long non-coding RNA (CCLE_LNC004115)". Lineage: Eukaryota; Viridiplantae; Streptophyta; Magnoliopsida; Sapindales; Rutaceae. The record is from RNAcentral.